Molecule: ribosomal RNA, 698 nt
Filed under: uncultured Staphylococcus sp.
Lineage: Bacteria; Bacillati; Bacillota; Bacilli; Caryophanales; Staphylococcaceae
Description: bacterial SSU rRNA
Rfam family: Bacterial small subunit ribosomal RNA
Source: RNAcentral
CGAGCGAACAGACGAGGAGCUUGCUCCUCUGACGUUAGCGGCGGACGGGUGAGUAACACGUGGAUAACCUACCUAUAAGACUGGGAUAACUUCGGGAAACCGGAGCUAAUACCGGAUAAUAUAUUGAACCGCAUGGUUCAAUAGUGAAAGACGGUUUUGCUGUCACUUAUAGAUGGAUCCGCGCCGCAUUAGCUAGUUGGUAAGGUAACGGCUUACCAAGGCAACGAUGCGUAGCCGACCUGAGAGGGUGAUCGGCCACACUGGAACUGAGACACGGUCCAGACUCCUACGGGAGGCAGCAGUAGGGAAUCUUCCGCAAUGGGCGAAAGCCUGACGGAGCAACGCCGCGUGAGUGAUGAAGGUCUUCGGAUCGUAAAACUCUGUUAUUAGGGAAGAACAAAUGUGUAAGUAACUAUGCACGUCUUGACGGUACCUAAUCAGAAAGCCACGGCUAACUACGUGCCAGCAGCCGCGGUAAUACGUAGGUGGCAAGCGUUAUCCGGAAUUAUUGGGCGUAAAGCGCGCGUAGGCGGUUUUUUAAGUCUGAUGUGAAAGCCCACGGCUCAACCGUGGAGGGUCAUUGGAAACUGAAAAACUUGAGUGCAGAAGAGGAAAGUGGAAUUCCAUGUGUAGCGGUGAAAUGCGCAGAGAUAUGGAGGAACACCAGUGGCGAAGGCGACUUUCUGGUCUGUAACUGA